UUCCCUUCUCCAUCGAACCUUCAAAGAUUCUUCCUUGAUAUUUAUCAUAUUCGCAACAUUAUCAACAAUCUUUCAUAACACACGUCACAUUGAUUGAAUUUAUUCGAAUAACCUACGAAACGGCGGGUUCAAGAGGUUAUGGUCUCAAUGCCAGCGAAUCACGAUUGACCUUAAGCCGGUAUCGCAUUGCGCCGAUUCUUUCCACAUCGUUCGAAUUACACGCACGGUAGGUAAGAGUAGGUAAGAGACACGAGGAGAGGAGAUGGGCGGGUGUAAGUGCAUGCACCCAACCGACUCUUCGCGAGAUUCUAGGGAAGAUACACGGGGUCAUGGGUGGCCGGUGAAAAUGUCACGCUAGUUGAUACAGACUUUGAACGUUCCUGUACCCACGUUCGAUCACCUUUCAAACGAUCCUCGAACAAGUCGAUUUCAAGUACGAGACGCUUUCAAGGAACAAACUGUGGAGAAUACUGUGUUUCGUGUCGCCAAUGAAAAACAUUUCUGAAACUGGAAGCAAGAUCUUUAUUGAAAUUUUAGAAAAAGUAUGCCAGUCAUAAGGAUAAAAGACAUAGACGCGAUCUAAUUUUGAGAUUUUGAGGUUAUCUAACAAAUUUGUUGAAAGUUCUUUCUGUAUCUUGAUACAGAAUGUGUCGUACGUUUGACGAAAUCCACUUAUAUAUUCCACGUCUGUAAUUCGUGCGUGGAACAGUUAUGAGUCACACAAUUACUCAGCAUUCGUAAGAAUCGAACGAAAUGUCACAUGAUUCCCGAUCUUACUUACAAAUUUAUAUUUCUCGUGGAAAGAAAUAUGGAGAAAUAAUGCUGUAUAUUUCCAACUUACCGGAAUUUGUACAUCAGUAAUUCGGUUAUGAAACACUUGACGAUGGAAACUGAUGGAAUCUUUUUAAAUCUUUAAAUCUCCGAAAAUUUUUAAAAUCUCGAAAUUUCCAAAAUAAUUUCAAAGAUGAAGAAAAAUAAUUUUGAUGAAUCUCAUCUAUAAUAAUGUAAAGCAUAAGAUAAAUAUUACGCAAAUAUAAAAAACAAAAAUAAACCACAAAGUGAAACGAUAUCUCGAGAAGGAAAUUGCGAAAGUAUCAAGAUAUAAUGCGUAUAAUGAUCUGAGCGCAGAAAUCAAAGGGACAAACGUGUCUUAUCCUUUUGCGAUAAUUGUCAGCAAGUUUGGGGCAAAAAAAUACCGCUAUACCUCAUAUAUGGUUGACACGUUUGUAUUAAUAAUACAUAUCUGGAGUAUAUAGCAACAGCAGCGCAGAAAGAAGCGAUAUCGUGUAAGAUCGAUGAUAUAAUUUCCCGCAGAAGAGGAAAGUGAGGGUCUCGGGUAACUCGCACGAGUCGAGUUGUUGGCCAGAAAUUCAUUAGGAAUGCACGGCACGCAGCAAGAAACUGUUCGGUUCGAUCGUUACAUAAAUAAUUACGAUUGCAAUUAAGAUUACCACUACGAGAUGUUUUUUCAAUGAUGGAUUCGAAGCGAAAAUAUCGAGUUGAUUGAUUAUUGUUUUUAAAAAAAUAGAGCUUAAACGAAGUGGAAUUAACUCAUCGUUUUUUAACUCUAAUUAAUUCUUUCUUAUAUUAAUUUUCGUAUUCGAUCCAUUUCUAUUAUUUUUAUAGAAAUUCUUGAGAUACUUUGAGAACGAAUUAUUCAAUUUUAUUUUUAACAAAUUUUCGAAGCCUUCUAAAUCCUCAAUGUGGAAAUAUUUCUCAAAUUCUUUUUUUAAAAACAACUUAACUAAUCACUUUCAGAGAACGGCAGCGACUAAACUAAACAAAAAACAUUCAAAGUGAAAAGAAAAAUCAAAAUAUAACAGAUACAACAAAAUUACCCAUUCGGUCUGUCGGGAUAGCUUUCCUGUUCAGGCAUUCUCGACGUUCUGAAGUUCUCUUGCUCCUUUUCCACGGUUGCUCGUUGCUGUUGCUGCU
RNAcentral lists this long non-coding RNA (1935 nucleotides) under Apis mellifera (honey bee). RNAcentral's name for it is "uncharacterized LOC102656315, transcript variant X1". The record is from RNAcentral. Lineage: Eukaryota; Metazoa; Arthropoda; Insecta; Hymenoptera; Apidae.